UUUUGGCUAGUGACGGCCUUCCUUGCAUUUGAGCUGGGUUGGUGGCCAUUAGUUGUGUGGUUUCGGAGUUGUAAACCGUAAAGGUGCAUGAGUGGUGUUUGGUUUGUUACGGGUGGUCGGCUCCUUGCUUGCGCAACCAACUUCCACCUGGCAUUCCUCUUCAGUUUUGUUUCAAUGCUUGAAUUGCAUUGAAUGCACGUUGGGUUUCUUGUGUUGAAUGCCUAAUUGAUGGUAUCGCGUGACGAAUCGAUAAAUGAUUUCGUCUCUUGUCGCGCAUGCGAUGCGAGAUGAACGUUGAAGCAGCCUCAGUGAUCCACUAUCUUGAUGCCCUUGCAUUGAUUUUGUGGCUCAUUGAGUGUUCGCUUGGCCUCAUGGAUAUGGAACAUUGUGUGGGCGCGUGAUCUUUUACGAGAUCAUCGUUUGCCCAAGCAAAGCUUUUUCAAUUACGAUUUCCUACAACGUUCAGACGUGGUAGGCAAUAUCGAAUAUGAAUG
RNAcentral lists this unclassified non-coding RNA (494 nucleotides) under Acomis macra. RNAcentral describes it as "partial external transcribed spacer". The record is from RNAcentral. Lineage: Eukaryota; Viridiplantae; Streptophyta; Magnoliopsida; Asterales; Asteraceae.